This 118-nucleotide transfer-messenger RNA is filed under the name Deltaproteobacteria bacterium. RNAcentral's name for it is "partial transfer-messenger RNA". It matches the Rfam family "transfer-messenger RNA", at positions 228 to 374 of the family's 374-position model. Rfam says of the family: Bacterial tmRNA, also known as 10Sa RNA or SsrA, is named for its dual tRNA and mRNA-like properties. Its role is to liberate the mRNA from a stalled ribosome. The record is from RNAcentral. Lineage: Bacteria; Pseudomonadati; Myxococcota; Myxococcia.
UCGCCCACUUUACAAAGGUGGGAUAGCCUUGUCUCACGGCGAUAAUCUGAGACUACACACGUAGUGGGUUAUUCUGAGGAUGCUUUGGACGUGGGUUCGAUUCCCACCACCUCCACCA